Anolis carolinensis (green anole) is the source of this 3016-nucleotide long non-coding RNA. RefSeq lists it as uncharacterized. NCBI's taxonomy places the organism in Eukaryota, Metazoa, Chordata, Lepidosauria, Squamata, Anolidae. The record is from RefSeq and is a predicted model, not a curated record. The transcript has 3 exons.
GCCCCUUGCUGCUGGUUGCAAAACUCCAUGUGAGCUCCUGGCCAUCAUGGGUGCACUGUGCAAACAUUAGCAGCUUAACAUCGAAUGGGGGAGUUGGGGCAACAGAGUUCCCUAUACCAAAAGCCAGUUAACAGUCUAGCACCACUUCUUUGCACCUAAUGAAGUUUCUGAACACUCUUCAAAGGAAGUCUCACAUAGAACAUCUUACAAUACACAAAGCAGGAUGUCACCAGGGUGAAUUAAAACAAAUAUAUGAAUACAGUGAUUGUCAUAUAUCACAUAGUUUAUGUGAUUCCUGAUUGGCUAAGACUGCGAGUAUGAGGUUAAUUUGGGACCAGUAUGGAAGGACUCAUUUUCACUGUGAUUAGAUUGACAGGUCUGGAACUGGUUUGAGGUCAGGAAGGCAAGUACAUUAAUCACGAACUCUGUUCUCAAUAUGCUCUGCAGGUUCCCCCUCCGAUUUCCGGGAGAGAGGUGCACCAGCAUUCUGGAAGCAUAGGAGCAGCUUCGAACUGCCAAAGAAGGAAGCAAGAAAGUGAACAUUCUCCCCUAUGAGCUACUCAGAAUAGCUGAGAGAUACCCUACUUCCUAGUGCUGGAGCAGCAAUCACCCUUUUGCUCAUCACCCUGGAAAUGCAAAAAUCGGGAAGAACUUUCUUGCUUUUCCCCCCAGCAAUAAAAUAUUAUACUGCCAAGGAAAUUGUGUAAGAAAUAAGUGAAGAAUUGGACCUGAGAACUAUACGAUGGUCUAGGAGUCAGGUAACCUAACCAUGAAGGAACUGGCAAGGUUAGGUGGGGAUAAUUCAAAACAGAAUUUAUUAAAGUAGAUAUUGAUUAAGAAUGUGAAACAGAGGAGGGGACUGACACUGAUACCUUUUGGCUGUGUUUUACUGAUGUUAUAGGUCAUAGUUAUGGAGAUAGUGAAGUUUGUGAGUACAAACAAGAACAAGCUUGUCUUUUGCCUUCCCCACAGAUGAAUACUGAAAGAAAAUCCAUAAUUUCAGCCACAGGCAUAUGCUUGUAGUAUUUACUAGCAAAGGAUGUACUGUUCUCAACACUGGAUUAAAUUUAGUUGAAACUACAGGAUAAUGGCAGGCCAUCCAAUCUUUCUCUGAUUAACCGUGCAUUACAUUGUGAGGUUGUAAAACCUAGCAUUUCCAAUCUGUAUUCUGUUAGAAAAACAGUAAAGGUUCAGCUGCACUAACAUAAACAGAGGACAAUGACUGAAUCACAGCACUGGAAGAGGAGGGUUGUGAAGAAGGAAAAACUAAAAAGUCGUAUAGUUAUUCUUUCCAAGUGGACCAUUAGCUUUGAGGCACUGAACUAGGAGUGACUCCAUUUGAGCUUUGAGCUACAUAUUAAGGUUAAAAUGAGUGAGUACAAACUCUAAUUACAAGAAUUACUGCUUUACAAGAAUUUCUGUCUACAGUAAUCUUUUAGAUGCAAAAUCUGUAGAACUGGGUAAUUAUGAUACUUAUAAGAGUCCUCAGUAUAUCAGAGAGAGCUCUAAAGAAUAGAUUAAAAUUGUGAUAUCUGCUAUCAGCUCUUAUAAUAAAUCAAGUGACUGACUAAUUAUUAAAUUUCUGCCCUUUAGUGGUUUAAAUACUUGGAUAUCAUGAAUAAGAAUAUUCCUUAAAAUAUGGGCAAAACAAGUAUCUCCUAGAAGCUUAGUAAGCAGAUGCACAUGCAAGUGAACUUACAAAGCAAAGUCCGAACAUGAACCAAUCAAGUGCCUUCUAUCUGCAUCCAGCUACCUAGAGGUGUGGCAGACAUAUUCCUACUCCAUUGAAACUGGGCUUAGGAUCCCUUACGGAGAUCCACUCUUUUCUUUCUAGAGAAUAUUAUACAUUCACCUUUUCACAGGUUUGCUCAUAUGUGCAGACAUUUUCAAUCAGAGAAACCGCAAAAGGGUAUAACUGGUUUGCUUGGUGAGCUUUGUUGACUAUUGCAAGAGGAACACGGAACCCUAGCCACUUAAGAUUAUGGACUUCCUUGGAAAGUGUGGUUAUUUCUGGGAAAAAGUUGGCUUUUAGUUUGAGGACAUUACCUGUUCGGCCUCUGACACAAGUGCUUUCACUGGUGAAAAUGUGACCAGAGACACAAAGGUUACGUUGCUGAACCUUCCUGGCCAAAUCAUCAAAUAUUUCUUGAGUAUUGAGCUUCAUACGGAAGCUGUCUCCAUCUUAUUUCUGGCCUUCAACAUGAUUCUUCCAACCCUUCCCAAGAACACCUUCAACACACUUCGUGUAAAUUAUGAGCUACCGGCCAAUCUGUUUAGCCCAAAUUAUAGAACCUGACACAGGAGGCAAAUCUCACAAGUGACUCAUUUUGCAAGUAUGGCUUUGCUGAUACUGCACUUUAAAUUUGUCAUGGAGCCACUCUAUGUCAUCUUUCACAUUCUGGUUUAACUGUGUUUGGUAUUCAUGGAUGGUACUUCUGAUUCUGCUUAACAUACAUGCUACAGAAACAAUAUAGUAAUAAUUAACUUCAAUAAAUCAAAAGAACCAAAUAAUACACAAACAAUAAACUAUGACGCAAAAUUAGUGUAAGCAAGGAGUAAGUGCAGCAUGGCCAUUUUUGUGCUGGUUAACAUUUUCUUCCACUGUAGCCCUCCCCUGUCAUGCUGGCCUACACUCCCCAUCAUUAAUUUUGGUAAAUCAGGAUGAUUGGUCACAAUGGAAAAUAGUAAGCCUUGGAAGGACACGUGGAGAAAUCACAGUUGGAAACUGGCCAAAACCUACACAGGGAAACUCUUUGUCUUGGAAGGGCACCAGAACCAAUCAAUAUUCCAAUCAAAGAACCAGAACCAAUCAAAGGCCCGGGCUGUGGCGCAGGCUGGAGAGCAAGCCAGCUGCAACCACCUGCAAUGAAUCACUCUAACCAGGAGGUCAUGAGUUCAAGGCCUGCUCAGAGCCUAUGUUUGUCUUGUCUUUGUUCUAUGUUAAAAGGCAUUGAAUGUUUGCCUAUAUGUGUAAUGUGAUCCGCCCUGAGUCCCCUUCGGAGUGAGAAGGGGAAUA